GAUGAAGAACGUAGCGAAACGCGAUAAGUAAUGUGAAUUGCAGAAUCCAGUGAAUCAUCGAAUCUUUGAACGCACAUUGCGCCCGCCAGCAUUCUGGCGGGCAUGCCUGUUCGAGCGUCAUUUCAACCCUCGACCUCCCCUUGGGGAGGUCGGCGUUGGGGACCGGCAGCACACCGCCGGCCCUGAAAUGGAGUGGCGGCCCGGCCGCGGCGACCUCUGCGCAGUAAUACAGCUCGCACCGGGACCCCGACGCGGCCACGCCGUAAAACACCCAACUUCUGAACGUUGACCUCGAAUCAGGUAGGACUACCCGCUGAACUUAAGCAUAUCAAUAAGCGGAGGA
RNAcentral lists this unclassified non-coding RNA (343 nucleotides) under soil metagenome. Its description in RNAcentral is "partial contains 5.8S ribosomal RNA, internal transcribed spacer 2, and large subunit ribosomal RNA". The stretch from base 1 to 120 matches the Rfam family "5.8S ribosomal RNA", at positions 35 to 154 of the family's 154-position model. The record is from RNAcentral.